AAAAGCAUCUUCAUAGUAGAGAAACCUGACAAACACUCCCUCAGCCAGCUGAUCAGUCAUAAUCAACAGGGAUAAGUCGUGCUGCUAUGUGUCCUUGAGAUAAUGUGAUGAAAUAGCACUUGACCUCUACAGUUUUCCUCCCCCAAACCCAAAACCCCAGUUGAGACAUGCAUCAGACAAAUCCCAGUAGAAGGACAUUACACAAAAUAUCUGACCACUUCUCAAACCUGCCAAGAUCAUCAAAAACAAAUAAAUUCUGAGAAAUAUGAUCAUAGCCAAAUGGAGCUAAGGAGAUGAUGCCUAAAUGUAACACAGUCUCCUGGAUGGAACCCUGGGACAGAAAAACAACAUUACAUAAAAUUGAUUUCUCUGUGCCCACCAACACCUGCAGACGAUCUUCCAAGGAAAUGCACCUUGGCUCCAGUACCACAAGAUGGAACUGUCUAGUUGCAGGAAAACAAGCUCAGGGCUCCCACUGA
This 479-nucleotide long non-coding RNA is filed under the name Callithrix jacchus (white-tufted-ear marmoset). RNAcentral's name for it is "lncRNA (ENSCJAG00000083935.1)". Lineage: Eukaryota; Metazoa; Chordata; Mammalia; Primates; Cebidae. The record is from RNAcentral.